Molecule: long non-coding RNA, 237 nt
Organism: Salvelinus namaycush (lake trout)
Lineage: Eukaryota; Metazoa; Chordata; Actinopteri; Salmoniformes; Salmonidae
Exons: 3
Source: RefSeq, a predicted model, not a curated record
UACUACUGGGAGGGUAUUCACGAGACAGCGUUACAAGGACAAGGCUCACAAGCUACAGACCAGGCAGAUGCUAUAAUUAGGGUUGCCCAAAGACAUGUUCCCGAGUUCUCAGAGCUUCUUCAGAACAGCCCUCUUCAAAAAAGCCGAGACUCCUCGCCGGCUUAUAAAGACAUCCAAGAAGCUACACAUCUAGAUCCCGAGGAGGCGCCAAAGACCCCAGUCACCAGAACAGCGAAG